This 269-nucleotide ribosomal RNA is filed under the name uncultured prokaryote. RNAcentral's name for it is "partial 16S ribosomal RNA". It matches the Rfam family "Bacterial small subunit ribosomal RNA", at positions 524 to 792 of the family's 1533-position model. The record is from RNAcentral.
UACGAAGGUGGCAAGCGUUGUUCGGUAUCACUGGGCUUAAAGGGUGUGUAGGCGGAAGGGAAAGCGUCCUGUGAAAUCCCCCGGCUUAACCGGGGAAUUGCUCGACGAACUACCUUUCUUGAGGCAAGUAGGGGUGCAUGGAACUCUUGGUGGAGCGGUGGAAUGCGUAGAUAUCAAGAGGAACGCCAGCGGUGAAAACGGUGCACUGGGCUUGUCCUGACGCUGAGACACGAAAGCGUGGGGAGCGAACGGGAUUAGAUACCCCGGUA